CCACCUCUUGGCUCGGCCUCCUCCUUCCCUUCCCUCCCCCCACCUCCAGCCACACCCGUUCGACCACCUGCCGGAUCCCGCGUCGCCACGUCUGCAUCGCUCCGGUCUUCUCCCACAACUCACGCAUCGCAACGGCGCUCGCGCCCGCGCGGUCUCCUCCAUGACCUCUCUCCCUUGCGGCGGCGGCAUCACACAUGACGCAUCCGACGGCGAGCUCCACAGGUCAACGCAUCCUCUCUUCUCUCCCAUGGAAGUCCCUCCCCUCUCACAUCUCUCUCUGUCUGCGAGCGGUGGCGGCCGGCUACGCGAGAGGUCAAUCUGGUCACGCCUUCCCACCAUCGACCACGCUACGUCGCUAUCGGAGGGGCACCCUGCCGCUGUCGGGGACUCGCCAUCAUUGAAGCACGCCACCACGCCGCCGCUCUUCUGUCUCUCCCUGCUCGCCUCCCGCGGCCAAGACUGACCGCAUCCUGCACAAUCUUCGUCCGUCCCUCGAUUCCGACCCACCUGCGUGAAACAGACCGGCGAAGAAAUUUGGGCGCACAUCUCGCCUCACCAAAAGAAUAAGAUUGCUUACCUCUCGCGCGUAUGACUUGGGGCGGCGGCGGCCGCCGCGGCCGUCAGCCGUUCAGAGCCUCCCACGACGGCACCAACAUCGGGCGGCCAAAGCCCAGCAUCAACGCCCAUUCCUUUUUUGCGUGUGCACUCUCCUCCAUUGAAUCCCCCUUCUCCAGCGCGCAUGGAGGAACCGUUGGAUCGAUGGCGUGCGUCUCUGCAUGUGUGUGCGAGUGGGCAUACGUGAUCUGUCCAUGGCGGGCAUGCGAGUGUGCUGUGUUGGGCGUGUUUGUCCCGUGGAUGCCCUGUGCACCUGCAGGAUCCAGACGGCUGUCUGUGGUCGAGCUCCGCCAUCCUGCGCCGUAGGACUGACCCAGGCGACCUGAUCAGAGCAGCAGAUCGAUGGCCAUGAAGAUGGAGCCUGGAGCCAAGUAGCAGCUUUCCGGUUUAAGCUAGCUGAUGUAGAUGGAUAACGCUGUCGCCGCUAAUCAAGGGCGCGGGGGGUGGCCAGGCGUGGCUGGGUGGUGACCUCGUGCAGAUCGCAAUCUGGAAGUAGGAAAAGGAGGUGCGUGUGUGCUGUGUUCAGGUACUGCAUGCCUGCAGCCAAUCCAUUUAUGAGAAUUGUAACUUUCUUUUCAAUUUCCUCACAGCAAUCUUAUUCUUUGCAAGGAAUUUGAACUCUAUUUCAACGUGAUCGACAUCCCAUUGUGAUGCACCGUCAGAUUGUUACCGUUUUUUUGGAGAAAGUUUGAUAUGAUUUUUCAUGGAAGGAUUUGCCUGUAUUAAAUGCCUUACUGAAUAUAGCAUCGGUUGCUUGAUUAGCAUUACUUCUUGAAGGACAAAACUAUUGAUUCUUUUUGGCUACAGAAAAAAGUUUUGGAUGCAGAGCUGGGUGGUUUCUUCAUAGAACUAAGGAGCCAGUAAAAAAACAUGAGAAUUCGUCACCUGUCUUAGCCAUCGCAACCUCCUGAACAAGGUUCCAAAGUUUGGCCGCAGCUAGCUUGAUAUGGAGACAUUUCCUGUUAGGAGUUAAACUUUGGUUUGGAGGCAUCGAGCUUUGGCUGUAACUAGCUUUGUUACUUGAUAUACCUCUGUCAGCAUUCAGGAGCCGGGUAGUUGUUGAGCGGGUUGUGUGAGAGGCGGUCGGCGAGCACGGGCUAGACGGGAAGGUGAUGCUUGCAAUGGCGACCAUGCCGGUGGGCAGGGCAAGGUCGAUUGUGUCCAUCAUGGUGUUUCCGAGGGGGAGCGAGGCAUCUACCAUCGCGCAUCUGAAGAAGUCGACGCUCGGGGCGAGGUUGACCACCGUGGCCGGCGUGAAAGCGGACGGACUUAAAGGCAUUGGAUGCUUGAUUAGCAUUACUUCUUGAAGGACAGAACUAUUGAUUCUUUUUGGCUGCAGCAAAAAGUUUUGGAUGCAGAGCUGGGUGGUUUCUUCAUAGUACUAAGGAGCCAGUGAAAAAACAUGAGAAUUCGUCACCUGUAUUAGCCAUCGCAACCUCCUGAACAAGGUUUGCCAGCAUCUAGCUUAAUCCUUGUGAAUGGUUGGUAGCAGAUCUAUCUUACAAGCAGAAAACAUCUACUUUGUAUUUUAGUUUUCUGAAUUACAUUCAUCCCUAGCUGCACUUACAGGUCAAAAACACCCACAUACUUCAGUUUUCACAGCCAGCAGACCUAGAAAAAAAUA
Molecule: long non-coding RNA, 2239 nt
Organism: Triticum aestivum (bread wheat)
Lineage: Eukaryota; Viridiplantae; Streptophyta; Magnoliopsida; Poales; Poaceae
Exons: 5
Source: RefSeq, a predicted model, not a curated record